This 951-nucleotide ribosomal RNA is filed under the name Triticum aestivum (bread wheat). Its description in RNAcentral is "partial small subunit ribosomal RNA". Lineage: Eukaryota; Viridiplantae; Streptophyta; Magnoliopsida; Poales; Poaceae. The record is from RNAcentral.
AUGCUCCCGCUCGCCGCCGCAAGGGCCUGCCUUUCCUCCCCGGCGCCGACGCCGAGACCCCCAUCCCCAUCCCCAUCCCGAGCGGCGCCUCUCUCCCCCCUUCACCGUCGCCGCUCCACCGCCACGCUGCCCAGACCCGCCGGGCUCCCCCUCCUCCGUCCGCUCGGGGCCGCCGCGGGGGCGGGCGCGCCGGGCGCGUCCUCGCGGCCGGCGAGGGACCGCGUGAUCGACUUCGGCAAGCACAAGGGCCAGAUGCUGGGCACGCUGCCGCCGUCCUACCUGCGGUGGGUGGUCGUGGAGCUCGACUACGGGGACACGCUGGUCUGGGCGCGCCUGGCGCGCGAGGUGCUGGACGACCCCGUCUACGUCGACCGCGUGGAGUGGGAGCACGCGCACCGCUUCCUCCGCGGCGACUCCAAGUUCGACUACGUCUACGACGAUGCCGGCGACGACGGCGACGGGCCGCUCCAGGAGAUGGCCGAGCGCUUCGGCUGGGACCUCUCCGACGAGGACGGCUGGGGCCGCCUCGACUUCCGCCUCCUCGGCACCUCCUACGGCGGCCGCAUCCCGAGGAAGGCCGGCCGGCGCCAGAGCACCGGCAACAGAACCCCCCGCAGCGGGAGCGCCCUGUUCGACGCCGGGGCGGCUGACCCGGACGGGCCGAGGGGGAAGAGGGACGAGAGGCGUGAGCGGAUGCGGACGAGGAGGGAGGAGCAGGUGAGGACGGCGAAGCUGGAUGUGCUCGGCGUGAGCGCCGGCGCGAAGGAUGGCGGCGCACUGGGGACGGCGAGGAAGGCCCGCAUUGGAGCGGCGGCGAAGAAGGACAUCCUGGGGCUGGGGCGCGGCGGCGAGAGGGCGGCGCCGCUGAAAGGCGGCGAGGGAGGGAGCCCGUUCCCCGGCCGGCAAGCCUUCCUCGACAAGGUUAGGAAGCUCAAGGGCGAUGAUAGCUAG